RNAcentral lists this ribosomal RNA (81 nucleotides) under Clostridium botulinum. RNAcentral's name for it is "partial 16S ribosomal RNA". It matches the Rfam family "Bacterial small subunit ribosomal RNA", at positions 1456 to 1533 of the family's 1533-position model. The record is from RNAcentral. Lineage: Bacteria; Bacillati; Bacillota; Clostridia; Eubacteriales; Clostridiaceae.
CCUAAGGUAGGGUCAGCGAUUGGGGUGAAGUCGUAACAAGGUAGCCGUAGGAGAACCUGCGGCUGGAUCACCUCCUUUCUA